Molecule: RNA transcript, 1310 nt
Organism: Quercus lobata
Lineage: Eukaryota; Viridiplantae; Streptophyta; Magnoliopsida; Fagales; Fagaceae
Exons: 9
Source: RefSeq, a predicted model, not a curated record
GCGUUUAGCAUUCUUUCCGAUUUGCCGACCUUUUCUUCUCUACUCAACUGUGUGAGUGGCUAUGCACGAGCAGUGACCAUUUUUGGAAGAAAAAGACACUCACCAGCUCUCUCCCUUGUAUCCAGCUUCCAAGUAUCCAGCCGGUGGUGACCAUUUUUGCAAGAAAAAGACUCCUCCUUUCGGUGAAGCAAGGUUGGGGGGGGGGGUUUCAACUGACCCAGUCUUAAUUUCAUUGAUCUCUGAGUUUUGGUAGUGGAAGGAUAACAAGAAAGCAAAAAUGGAUGUCGAUUCACAGCCAACUAUGGAGGAAACUAUUCUGGUUGGUGAUGAUCUAAUGAUGGGGCCACCGUCACCCCUCAUUCCACCAGAAAUUGCCUCCCAUGUGCUUGAAGGAGUUGAUUUAUGUGAUGGGAUUUUGCGGAAUCUAUUUUUGUGCUUGCAAAUCAAUGAUAUUGAGCCUUUCUGUCAAGAUGAGAUUGCCGUGUAUCGACAAUGCGCUGAAAAAAGGGAUAAGGAACUAAGACAACGACUUCAAGAUAGUGAGCACAAGUUGGGGUUAUCAAUGCCUCUAGAUGAAGCAAAGGAAAGAGCUGCUCAGCUUGAAUCAGAAGUUACAUCAUUGGAAAGGCGCUUGAUUCUUGCUAGUGGAAUUGAAGGCAUGGAAGGAUUUCGCCAGAGAUGGAGCUUGCAUGGUCGCCUCACAGAUACCAAGAGAAGGCUGGAGUCUUUGAAACAGGGAAUGGAGAAUAAAAUUAAAGAUGAGCCUGUUGGAGGUUCAACUGCUAAAAGAUGGUCUUUUUGGUGAAGAUUCAAGAGGCAUAUCUUUCACAUGAUUCUGGAUGGACUUACUCUGCAGCCUUGAACAACAGUAUACACAAGCUCUUAGCAACAAGUGGAUCAACAUCAAUCUUGUUCCUUCAAUGGACUGACUUCAACACACAACAAUCAAAACAAAUAUUGAAUAGUAAGAGCAAUUAUUUGGCUUAAAAAUUUUGAGUUCUUUAUCUCUAUUAGAGGUUGGCACAGUUGCACACGCUAAACUUUUCUACGGAAGAGAUGAGCAUUUCACAUUUGUUAUUUGUAGAUGGCAUGAUAUUAUCUUGAGAGGCUUCCACUGAGAAUUGGCUACAUAUUUGCCUUGCUUUUAUGUGCUUUGGGGUAGUGACAGGGUUAUGGGUGAAUUUGAGUAAGAGCGGGCUGGUCAUGGUGGGCAAUGCUGCAUUUUUGGCUGAUUUAUUAUGUAGUAAGGUGGGGUCUUUUCCCGGGAUCAACUUAGAGAUGCCCUUAGGCUCUGUUUAUAAAUUGCAGCA